AACGUACUCCCUCCAUCCGAAAAUACUUGUCAUCCAAAUUAUUAAAAAAGGAUGUAUCUAGAACUAAUAUACAUCUAGAUACAUGCCCUUUCAUUCAUUUUGAUGACAAAUAUUUCCGGACGGAGGAGUAGUAC
This is a non-coding RNA of Triticum aestivum (bread wheat), 134 nucleotides long. Lineage: Eukaryota; Viridiplantae; Streptophyta; Magnoliopsida; Poales; Poaceae. The record is from Rfam.